UCCUCUCUAGUCUUCCACUUACCAAAAUGACAUAGAGGACACAGACACCUAAUUGUAUCUUCCACAGCCGCAUUCUUGAAUGCAAAAUCAAGAAAUUUAUUCAAACCUUGUUUGUAUUCGUCGGAGUUUUGUGGCUGUCUAAUCCACGAUUUAUCCAUAGAAAAGUAAUAAGCAAAUUAACAUAAAUAGCUUAGAGUAUACCUCAAUAAGAAGUACCCAAACCACCUUCAGAUUUUUUUAUACUUGCAAUGUACUUCAACAACUAAGUGAUCUUUCAAAUCAAAUUAAUUCCAGAAACUAACAGACAAAAAGAAUUCAUGAGGAAUCCCACAAAUCAACUUCAUGUAUAUAUGUUUGUUCGUAAUUUGAUUUGUCGAGGUAUUAGAGUCUUAAGUAUAGCCAGCAAGAAGCUAAUGCAGGGACAUCUCAACCAUUGGGCUCAACUGAAACAUCAAAUCAGGGGCGUAGGGAUGAUUCUGAUGACUUCAAUAAUUUUCACAAAGAUGGAAGUCAAACACUGUAUAAAGGGAGCAAGUACACAAAGCUAGAGUUUUUAAUAAAACUGUAUCAUAUAAAGGUCUAUUGUUGAUUAAGUGACAAGGCAAUGACUAUGAUACUAGAUUUGUUGAGAGAUAUUUUUGAAGAUGCAAAGAUACCUCCUUCUUUUUACGAGGUCAAAAAAAUAAUUACCACACUUGGACUUGACUACACUAUGAUACUAGCAUGUCCGAAUAACUGUAUGCUAUUCUGGGAAGGUGAUUUAGAAUUUGAAGCAUGUAAGCAUUCUGGCACGUCUAAAUGGAAUUCUAAUAAAAAAAUAAGCAACCUGCAAAAGCUCUGUGUUACUUUCCAUUGAAAUCAAGGUUGAAAAGGUUAUUUAUGUGUUGCAAGACUGCAGAACAUAUGAGAUGGCAUGCUCUAGGCAGUAACCCAGAUGGGUUGAUGAGCCAUCCAAGGGAUGGUGAGGCAUGGAAGACAUUUGAUAGGACUAACUCUGGAUUUACUUUUGAUCCUCAAAAUGUUCAUUUAGGCCUUGUUACCGAUGGUUUUAAUCCUUUUGGAACAAUGAGUUCUACCUAUAGUAUUUGGACUGUCUUCUUGAUUCCAUAUAAUCUUCCUCCAUGGAUGUACAUGAAGCACACUUCUUUCAUCUUAUCGAUGAUUAUUCCAGGCAAGCAGAUGCCGGGAAACAAUUUAGAUGUGUACUUACAACCACUAGUGAAGGAAUUGCGAGAGUUAUGGUAUGAUGAGCCCUCUCUAGCAAGACAUUGAAUCUUUCGGAGCUUGAUAUUCUCCAGGAGAGCAUUAUAAGAACACUUUGCCACCUGGAGAUACUAUUUCCUCCAUCAUUCUUUACAGUGAUGGUUCAUUUAUCUGUUCAUCUAAUAGAGGAAGCAAAACUUGAAGGUCCAGUGCAUUACCGAAACAUGUAUCCUGUAGAGAGGGAAUUGGGUCAUUUUAAGUCCUUUGUACGAAAUAAAGCACAACCAGAGGCUUCUAUAGCUGAGGGUUAUUUAGCUGAAGAGUCUCUUACCUUUUGUUCGCGGUAUAUUGAGGUUAUUGAGACAAGAUUCAACCAACCUAGGUGUGUCCGUGAUGACACAAAUGACAUUGAACCUUCUGUAAUGUCUAAUCUCUUCCCUCAAUAAGGUAAACCUGCGUCAGCUACGAAAAAUAACGAUUUGACUCCUAUGUCGAAACUACAAGCUCAUCGAUAUGUGCUUCUAAAUUGUGCAAUAGUCACGCCAUUUGUGGAGUGAGUAACUCUUAUCUAUAUGUUCUGUGUCAUUGCAAUGUUUUAAGUAGGUUAGUUAUGCUAUUUAAUAUUAAAUUAAAAAUUUCAUAUAGCGAAUUUAGACAACACAUAAGGAGUUCAACAGGAAGAAGACCUUCACCUACAGAGAUAGAGAAGAGUUAAUAAAGACUUUGUCGAUUGGUUCCACAAGCGGGUAAGUAAGUAAUAAUUAGUUGUUAUUUAUUUGAUUGGAAUGAGCAAAUCUGACUAAGUCAAUUUUAUUUUAAUUUAAAUUAUGAAUUCAGACACAAUAGAUACAAUGUCUAUUGAUCUAAAGUUUUUAGCACGAGGUCCAUGUAAAAUGCUAGAAGGUUUACUGCAUAUAACAUCAAUGGGUCAAAAUUUCAAACUUUGGCUCGAGAAGAAGGAUUGAAACGCAGAAUAGUGGAGUUUUCUUAACCUCCAAAACAUCAUGUGUUGCAAGUAGUGUUGAUGGAAAUUUAAGGCCAGCAGAAUUAUCAUAUUAUGGGAAGUUAGAAGAUAUUAUUGAGAUAAAUUAUAAUGGAUAUUUUAAGGUUGUUCUUUUCAAAUGUAAAUGCGUUGAUACUGCUCGAGAUAGAGGGUAUCAAAAAGAUCGUUGGAACCUUAUUGUGUUAAUUUUGAUAAAUUGAUUCAUACUGGUGAACGUGAAGAACACUAGCCUUGCAUUGAAGCAUCUCAAGCACAAAUGGCGUAUUAUGUGGAUGAUAUUGUCGAUAAAGGGUGGAGUGUUGCUAUGCAUUUAAAGCCAAGAGAUUUGUACAAUAUGGGAGAGGUAUUGGAAGAAGAAAUAUAUGAGAAUGAACCAUACCAAGCGCAAGAACUCGAACAGUUUUUUGUUGAUGGUGAUGGUUAUGCACAGCUAGCUACAGAUCACAUAAUUGAUGACAUAGUAGAGUCAAAUGUUACUUCUAAUCAAGAAGCAGAUGAAAUGUCUGACUGAUUUUUGCGACUUAUGUUGAUACUUGUUGGCUGUGGUCCUGCUGGUCUUACUCGUGCCGCUGAGUCGGCUAAACUAGGAUUGAACGUGGGACUCGUUAGGCCUAAUCUUACUUUCACAAAUAACUAUGGCAUCUGGGAGGAAGAGUUCAAAGGUCGUUAUCUUUAUCUGGCUUUUAUUGAAUGUUUUAUUACUAAGAGCUUUCAUGAAAUAAUUAGCUAAGAAGCACAUCUUUCGUACAAUGUUUAUACUUUUUUUUUUCAAAUCUUGGGCUUCAAGCCUGCAUUGAACAUUUUUGGAAGGAUACCAUUGUAUAUCUUGAUGAUGUUGAUCCUACUUUUAUCUGCCAUGCUUAUGGAAGAGUUAGUCGCCAGAGUUACUCAAAAGGUUAAAUUCUCUAAACUUGUUCGUUAUGUCAUACGAAUUGUUUUAUUCACCAUAGUAUAUUCCGUCAUUUUAUUUUCCUUAAAGGUGUAAUUCACAUUAAUCUUCCUAGGUGUGUGGAGGCAGGUGUUUUAUAUCUUAACUCGAAAGUGGAUAGGAUUGUUGAGGGCACAAGUGGCCAGAGUCUUGUAGAAUGCGAGGGUGACUUUGUGAUUCCGUGCAGGUUUGUAACUGUUGCGUCUGGAGCAGCCUCGAAGAAAUUCUUGCAGUAUGAGUUGGGAGGUCACAAAGUUUCUGUUUAAAUAGCUUACGGAGUGGAAUUUGAGCUAAUAUGGAGUUUUUGAGACCUCCAUCGAUGGAGGGUUUGGAUGCUUUAUUGUCCAAAACUAAUGGAUCGUUGAUGAAAAACAUGACUGGAACAAAUGGAACUAUACAAGUGCAGCCACAACCAUCGAUUAACUUGUUUUCCAGGAAAUCUAGUGUUUCUGUUUCAAAAGGCAGCUGUUUACAAGUGCAAUAUAGCUGGGAAACCUGCUGCGAUCACUCGUGUUGUGGACAGUAUGACUGAUUACUUAAAACCCACUCGUGUCGAGGCAAUAGAUAUUGCCAACUCUGUAUUGGAUGGUAGUGAUACAAUUCUUCUAGGUGCAGAGACCCCAAGAGGGCUAUAUCCUGUUGAGACUAUUUCCACUGUUGGUAAAAUUUGUGCAGAGGCAGAAAAGGUUUAUAAUGAAGAUGUCUAUUUUAAGAGGGAUGUUAAGUAUGUGGGAGAACCAAUGACUCACUAGGAAUCUAUUGCUUUCUCUGCGGUACGUGCUGCUAUCAAAGUUAAGGCAUAUGUUAUUUAUUAUCUGCUUCACUUCUUUGUGGAGAGCUGCAAGAUUGAUAGCUAAGUAUAGGCCAACGAUGCCAGUAUUGUUUGUUGUCAUUCCUCAACUCAAAACGAACCAGCUCCGCUGGACAUUCAGUGGUGCAUUUCAGGCUAGGCAGUCUCUUCUUGUUAGAGGGAUUUUCCCCAUCCUUGCAGAUCCAAGACAUCCGUGCCAAUAAAUGGGUCCAUUCCUAGCAGAGCAUAGAUAAACCAACAGAAGCAGGACACAACAAGUCAACAACGGCAAAUGACAGGAAAAAUGGCAUAUACUACACGCUCUUUGUGCUGAUUACUAGUCUAAUAAUAGAGAAAGGAGAUACAUAACAAUGGAGAAGAUGGGAAGCAACAAAAAUAUUGCAGCGGAGUUAAACUGCCACUAAUUAUUAUUUUUUAAGUACUAAUUUCAUAUUGUAGUGGUUGAAAACUCUCACAUAAUUUUCUAAGAUAACGAACUAGUAUUUUAUUGUGGGAUUUAUAGAACACCACAAUAUUUUUUUUUUG
This is a long non-coding RNA of Capsicum annuum, 4470 nucleotides long. RefSeq lists it as uncharacterized. The record is from RefSeq and is a predicted model, not a curated record. Lineage: Eukaryota; Viridiplantae; Streptophyta; Magnoliopsida; Solanales; Solanaceae. The transcript is spliced from 11 exons.